RNAcentral lists this ribosomal RNA (485 nucleotides) under Xylotrupes tadoana. RNAcentral's name for it is "partial large subunit ribosomal RNA". It matches the Rfam family "Bacterial large subunit ribosomal RNA", at positions 1808 to 2563 of the family's 2925-position model. The record is from RNAcentral. Lineage: Eukaryota; Metazoa; Arthropoda; Insecta; Coleoptera; Scarabaeidae.
CAAAAACAUGUCUUUUUGAUUAUAAUUUAAAGUCUAACCUGCCCAAUGAGGAGUUAAAUGGCCGCGGUAUUUUGACCGUGCAAAGGUAGCAUAAUCAUUAGUUUUUUAAUUGAAAGCUGGUAUGAAUGGUUGGACGAGAAAAUAACUGUCUCGAUUUAAAUUAAAUUAGAAUUUUAUUUAUGAGUAAAAAAGCUCAUAUGAGUUUAAAAGACGAGAAGACCCUAUAGAAUUUAAUAUAUCUAUAUAUAUAUUAUUUUUAGAAUUAAUAAUAAGUUAUAUAUAAUUAUAUUUUGUUGGGGUGAUAGAAAAAUUAAAUUAACUUUUUUUAUAUAAAAACAUUAAUGUAUGAAAAAAUGAUCCGUUAAUUACGAUUAUAAGAUUAAAUUACCUUAGGGAUAACAGCGUAAUUUUUUUUUAGAGUUCUUAUCGAAAAAAGAGUUUGCGACCUCGAUGUUGGAUUAAAAUUAACUUUUGGUGUAGGGGCU